This 506-nucleotide ribosomal RNA is filed under the name Klebsiella pneumoniae. RNAcentral describes it as "partial 23S ribosomal RNA". It matches the Rfam family "Bacterial large subunit ribosomal RNA", at positions 1396 to 1888 of the family's 2925-position model. Lineage: Bacteria; Pseudomonadati; Pseudomonadota; Gammaproteobacteria; Enterobacterales; Enterobacteriaceae. The record is from RNAcentral.
GCGAGGCCGAAAGGCGUAGUCGAUGGGAAACAGGUUAAUAUUCCUGUACUUGGUGUUACUGCGAAGGGGGGACGGAGAAGGCUAUGUUAGCCGGGCGACGGUUGUCCCGGUUUAAGCAUGUAGGCUGGUUGUCCAGGCAAAUCCGGAUAAUCAAGGCUGAGGUGUGAUGACGAGGCACUACGGUGCUGAAGUAACAAAUGCCCUGCUUCCAGGAAAAGCCUCUAAGCAUCAGGUAACAUCAAAUCGUACCCCAAACCGACACAGGUGGUCAGGUAGAGAAUACCAAGGCGCUUGAGAGAACUCGGGUGAAGGAACUAGGCAAAAUGGUGCCGUAACUUCGGGAGAAGGCACGCUGGUGUGUAGGUGAAGCCCCUGCGGGUGGAGCUGAGACCAGUCGAAGAUACCAGCUGGCUGCAACUGUUUAUUAAAAACACAGCACUGUGCAAACACGAAAGUGGACGUAUACGGUGUGACGCCUGCCCGGUGCCGGAAGGUUAAUUGAUGGG